AUUUGGUGUUGAGGGCACUUGAUGCAUAAUUUCUUGAAUCGCUCCCAAUAAUCAUAGAGCGACUCUCCUGGAUGCUGUUUGAUACCCCGCAUAUCUCCUUCCUUAGGCU
This is a small nucleolar RNA of Coffea eugenioides, 109 nucleotides long. The record is from RefSeq and is a predicted model, not a curated record. NCBI's taxonomy places the organism in Eukaryota, Viridiplantae, Streptophyta, Magnoliopsida, Gentianales, Rubiaceae.